GUAAGAUUAAAAGACGCGCGUUAUCUUCUUAUGAGCACGUGUUCUACAGCGUUAUCCUCCAUUUCUCUUUUCGUCCCAUUUCUGUCUCUAUCGUUUUCUCUCUCCUUCCUAGAUCUAGGGUUUUCUCUGUCUCCUCAUGCUCCUUGAGAGAUUCACCUAGAGGAAGAUGGUUUGGUUGAGUUACACAAAUCGGCGGGGUUACGAGACCGAGGAGUGAA
Camellia sinensis is the source of this 218-nucleotide non-coding RNA. Lineage: Eukaryota; Viridiplantae; Streptophyta; Magnoliopsida; Ericales; Theaceae. The record is from RefSeq and is a predicted model, not a curated record.